RNAcentral lists this ribosomal RNA (463 nucleotides) under uncultured Bacteroidota bacterium. RNAcentral describes it as "bacterial SSU rRNA". It matches the Rfam family "Bacterial small subunit ribosomal RNA", at positions 335 to 795 of the family's 1533-position model. Lineage: Bacteria; Pseudomonadati; Bacteroidota. The record is from RNAcentral.
ACUCCUACGGGAGGCAGCAGUAAGGAAUAUUGGUCAAUGGACGCAAGUCUGAACCAGCCAUGCCGCGUGAAGGAUGAAGGUCCUCUGGAUUGUAAACUUCUUUUAUAGGGGGCGAAAAAAGGGAAUUCUUUCUCACUUGACGGUACCUUAUGAAUAAGCACCGGCUAACUCCGUGCCAGCAGCCGCGGUAAUACGGAGGGUGCAAGCGUUAUCCGGAUUUACUGGGUUUAAAGGGUGCGCAGGCGGGCGAUUAAGUCAGUGGUGAAAUCUUCGAGCUUAACUCGGAAACUGCCGUUGAUACUAAUUGUCUUGAAUACUCGGGAGGUGAGCGGAAUAUGUCAUGUAGCGGUGAAAUGCUUAGAUAUGACAUAGAACACCGAUUGCGAAGGCAGCUCACUACAGAGAUAUUGACGCUGAGGCACGAAAGCGUGGGGAUCAAACAGGAUUAGAUACCCUGGUAGUC